UACGAAGGGAGCUAGCGUUGUUCGGAAUCACUGGGCGUAAAGCGCACGUAGGCGGAUGUGUCAGUCAGGGGUGAAAUCCCGGAGCUCAACUUCGGAACUGCCCCUUGAUACAGCACGUCUUGAGUCCGGAAGAGGUGGGUGGAAUUCCUAGUGUAGAGGUGAAAUUCGUAGAUAUUAGGAAGAACACCGGUGGCGAAGGCGGCCCACUGGUCCGGUACUGACGCUGAGGUGCGAAAGCGUGGGGGAGCAAACAGG
RNAcentral lists this ribosomal RNA (255 nucleotides) under uncultured bacterium. RNAcentral's name for it is "partial 16S ribosomal RNA". It matches the Rfam family "Bacterial small subunit ribosomal RNA", at positions 524 to 776 of the family's 1533-position model. The record is from RNAcentral.